Molecule: long non-coding RNA, 1095 nt
Filed under: Zea mays
Lineage: Eukaryota; Viridiplantae; Streptophyta; Magnoliopsida; Poales; Poaceae
Description: drought responsive lncRNA
Source: RNAcentral
CUAUAUAACAUCUUGGUGACUUUCUUUGUUUAACAGCCUACAUAUGAUGCUCAAGCAAGUAGUCUGACAUCUUUCAUACUACCAUUUCAUUUCUAAACAUGUUCUCCAUUUAUUGAACAUAUCGCUUCAUUGUUUAAAGUGGUUUAAAAUUAUUUACCACACUAAUUCGUUUUUUUAAAAAAUGCAGUCACCACACCCCAUAAAAAAGAUUCUUACUACCUUUUAUUUUUAACUGUCUACCAAAUUGAUUUUACGGAUCAUAUUAAUACCUCCUUAGUUUCGCAUGUGGACUCACUAUUUUGGAGCAGCGCUAAAUUCUUCAGUAUAGGUUGCAGCCCAAAUAAGAACAUGUGUUAUUUCCCUAGUCACACACCCUGCUUCCUUAUUUCAACUGUUUUCAACAGGUGAUUCAGGAGAAAAAAGUCCACAAGCUUGCUCCCCUUCACAAACACAAAAGGAAAAACGUUUUUCCCCUGAAUGGUGCUCUAGCGCUAGAAAAAGGAAUAGAAAAACUGUCUUCCACAUCACUGUCAUCUUAUGUGGUCGACUGGUCGUAGAUUGUUGCAUGACCUUUUUUUGGUACAAUGACGAUAACAUCUUCUACGAUUACUUCUUGGAGAAAGAGAAGUAACACAAAUUCAGUUUUCCUCAAUCUAGUUUUAAUUUCAUAACUUCUCGAGUUUUGUUUCCUGUUUUUAACGUUUGGGUUUUACUAAACUGCUUCUGAUUUAAUAUCUUUCUGUUCUCACUCUUAGUCUUCGUUCGACCUUUGCAAAAUUAGAUACGAUUUUCUGCUCGUUCCACACAAUUUUCCUCCUCUCUUGUUGUUUUAGAUGUGAGUUUCCUUAGAUCAAUACGUGUAGCCAAAGCACAUUAAAGUCAACAUCCAUGUUGUUUGUUCAUACGCAAAGAAUUUCAUCUAGGCACGAGGACUAAUAUUUGUGAUCCUUCGAGCUUUCAUGGCCGAGAUUAGAAUUUCAUCUAAGCAUGAGGACCAAUACCUUUGAUCCUAAGAGCUUCCACUGCUGUGGUUCUGUUUAUUUCUGCUUUUUUGUUGAAAUAUGUGGACCAGAACCUCCGAUCCUUACAUGCUUC